Molecule: transfer RNA, 61 nt
Filed under: Lycorma meliae
Lineage: Eukaryota; Metazoa; Arthropoda; Insecta; Hemiptera; Fulgoridae
Description: tRNA-Cys
Source: RNAcentral
GUCUUGUAUUCAAUUAUGAUUCUAUAUUGCAAAUAUAGGGGUGCAUUACUUGCUAAGGCUU